GACGAACGCUGGCGGCGUGCUUAACACAUGCAAGUCGAACGGAAAGGCCCUGCUUUUGUGGGGUGCUCGAGUGGCGAACGGGUGAGUAACACGUGAGUAACCUGCCCUUGACUUUGGGAUAACUUCAGGAAACUGGGGCUAAUACCGGAUAGGAGCUCCUGCUGCAUGGUGGGGGUUGGAAAGUUUCGGCGGUUGGGGAUGGACUCGCGGCUUAUCAGCUUGUUGGUGGGGUAGUGGCUUACCAAGGCUUUGACGGGUAGCCGGCCUGAGAGGGUGACCGGCCACAUGGGGACUGGGAUACGGCCCAGACCCCUACGGGGGGGAGGGGGGGGGAAUAUUGCAAAAUGGGCGGAAGCCUGAGGCAGCAACGCCGGGGGGGGGAGGACGGCCUUCGGGUUGUAAACCUCUUUCCCCUGGGACGAAGGGGGAGUGACGGUAAUGGGUAAAGAAGCACCGGCUAACUACGU
Molecule: ribosomal RNA, 467 nt
Filed under: uncultured bacterium
Lineage: Bacteria
Description: partial 16S ribosomal RNA
Rfam family: Bacterial small subunit ribosomal RNA
Source: RNAcentral